AUGGAGGAGGGCGCAGCCGACGCAGAUGGAGGGGUGGAAGGCAUGGUGGAGGAGGGCCACGGUGCUGCACCUGCACCGGGCGGCCAUGGUGGGGAGGCGGGGGCGGCCGCCCUAACCCUAGACGCGGAGCGCAAGGCCCACAGCGGCUAUGCGGCGCGAGGAGCGGCAUGGAGGAGGGCGUGGCCGACACGGAUGGCGAGGUGGAAGCCACGAUGGAGGAGUGCCACGGCGCUGCACCGGGCGGCCAUGGUGGAUAGGCGGGGCGGCCAAGCACUAGAGGAAUGGGGAGGGUGUGAUGUGCAAGGCAAAUCACGGCACCAGAGGGCCACGACGCUGCACUGCGCGGCCAUGGUGGGGAGGCAGAGGGCGGCCAAGCAGUGGAGGAGGGGCGAGGCAGCGCAGUGCAGGGCACUACAUCGGCUUGGCUAG
This 429-nucleotide ribosomal RNA is filed under the name Triticum aestivum (bread wheat). Its description in RNAcentral is "partial small subunit ribosomal RNA". The record is from RNAcentral. Lineage: Eukaryota; Viridiplantae; Streptophyta; Magnoliopsida; Poales; Poaceae.